GAUGAAGAACGCAGCGAAAUGCGAUAAGUAAUGUGAAUUGCAGAAUUCAGUGAAUCAUCGAAUCUUUGAACGCAUCUUGCUCUCCUUGGUAUUCUGAGGAGCAUGCCUGUUUGAGUGUCAUUAAAUUCUCAACUACACUGACUUUGAAUUGGUGUGGCUUGGAUUUGGGGGGAAAAUUGUUGUGGGCUUUUUGUAUAGUCUGCUCCCCUGAAAUUGAUUAGCGGUACCUUUGUGGAACUGUCUACAGGUGUGAUAAUUAUCUACAUCUUAGACAUCUGCUGGAAUGCUGCUCUCUAAACCUUACUUGUAUUGACAAUCUUGACCUCAAAUCAGGUAGGACUACCCGCUGAACUUAAGCAUAACAAUAAGCGGAGGA
Molecule: unclassified non-coding RNA, 376 nt
Filed under: soil metagenome
Description: partial contains 5.8S ribosomal RNA, internal transcribed spacer 2, and large subunit ribosomal RNA
Rfam family: 5.8S ribosomal RNA (bases 1-120)
Source: RNAcentral